RNAcentral lists this transfer RNA (71 nucleotides) under Loxodonta africana (African savanna elephant). It matches the Rfam family "tRNA". Rfam says of the family: Transfer RNA (tRNA) molecules are approximately 80 nucleotides in length. Their secondary structure includes four short double-helical elements and three loops (D, anti-codon, and T loops). Further hydrogen bonds mediate the characteristic L-shaped molecular structure. tRNAs have two regions of fundamental functional importance: the anti-codon, which is responsible for specific mRNA codon recognition, and the 3' end, to which the tRNAs corresponding amino acid is attached (by aminoacyl-tRNA synthetases). tRNAs cope with the degeneracy of the genetic code in two manners: having more than one tRNA (with a specific anti-codon) for a particular amino acid; and 'wobble' base-pairing, i.e. permitting non-standard base-pairing at the 3rd anti-codon position. Lineage: Eukaryota; Metazoa; Chordata; Mammalia; Proboscidea; Elephantidae. The record is from Rfam by way of RNAcentral.
GCAGUGGUGGUUCAGUGAUAGAACUCCCACUUUCAAUGUGGGAGACCUGGGUUUGACUCCCAGCGAAUGAA